RNAcentral lists this ribosomal RNA (984 nucleotides) under Aquapeziza globispora. Its description in RNAcentral is "eukaryotic LSU rRNA". It matches the Rfam family "Eukaryotic large subunit ribosomal RNA", at positions 82 to 1078 of the family's 3401-position model. Lineage: Eukaryota; Fungi; Ascomycota; Pezizomycetes; Pezizales; Pezizaceae. The record is from RNAcentral.
AGUAACGGCGAGUGAAGCGGCAAAAGCUCAGAUUUGAAAUCUGGUGUCCUAUGGGCAUCUGAGUUGUAAUCUGUAGAGAGGUACUUUUGGUCAGUCAUUGGUCCAAGUCCCUUGGAAGAGGGCGUCAUAGAGGGUGAGAGUCCCGUUUAUGGCCUUUGGUCUGUACCUGUAUAAGUCUUCUUCAACGAGUCGAGUUGUUUGGGAAUGCAGCUCUAAAUGGGUGGUAAAUUCCAUCUAAAGCUAAAUACUGGCAAGAGACCGAUAGCGCACAAGUAGAGUAAUCGAAAGAUGAAAAGAACUCUGGACAGAGAGUUAAAUAGUACGUGAAAUUGUUGAAAGGGAAGCACUUGCUACCAGACGCAUUUUUAGCUGAUCAGCCUUCAGUUUCUGUUGGUGCACUCAGUUGAGGAUGGGUCAGCAUCAGUUUUUUCAGUGGGAAAAAGGUGAAGGGAAUGUAGCUCCAUUUUUUGGAGUAUUAUAGACCUUUGCUAGUACUGCUUGAGAGGAUUGAGGACCGCACUUUUGUGAGGAUGCUGGCAUAAUGGUCGUAAGUGACCCGUCUUGAAACACGGACCAAGGAGUCUAACAUCUAUGCGAGUAUUUGGGUGAAAAAACCCUUAUGCGUAAUGAAAGUGAAUGCAGGUGGGAACCGUAAGGUGCACCAUCGACCGAUCCUGAUGUUUUCGGAAGGAUUUGAGUAGGAGCAUAGCUGUUGGGACCCGAAAGAUGGUGAACUAUGCCUGAAUAGGGUGAAGCCAGAGGAAACUCUGGUGGAGGCUCGCAGCGGUUCUGACGUGCAAAUCGAUCGUCAAAUUUGGGUAUAGGGGCGAAAGACUAAUCGAACCAUCUAGUAGCUGGUUCCGGCCGAAGUUUCCCUCAGGAUAGCAGUAACGGGUUAUAAUAGUUUUAUGAGGUAAAGCGAAUGAUUAGAGGCCUUGGGGUUGUAACAACCUUAACCUAUUCUCAAACUUUAAAUAUGUAAGA